RNAcentral lists this ribosomal RNA (253 nucleotides) under uncultured bacterium. RNAcentral's name for it is "partial 16S ribosomal RNA". It matches the Rfam family "Bacterial small subunit ribosomal RNA", at positions 524 to 776 of the family's 1533-position model. The record is from RNAcentral.
UACGAAGGGGGCUAGCGUUGCUCGGAAUCACUGGGCGUAAAGGGUGCGUAGGCGGGUCUUUAAGUCAGGGGUGAAAUCCUGGAGCUCAACUCCAGAACUGCCUUUGAUACUGAAGAUCUUGAGUCCGGGAGAGGUGAGUGGAACUGCGAGUGUAGAGGUGAAAUUCGUAGAUAUUCGCAAGAACACCAGUGGCGAAGGCGGCUCACUGGCCCAUAACUGACGCUGAGGCACGAAAGCGUGGGGAGCAAACAGG